This 82-nucleotide transfer RNA is filed under the name Bacteroidota bacterium. Its description in RNAcentral is "Bacteroidetes bacterium (mine drainage metagenome) tRNA-Leu". It matches the Rfam family "tRNA". Rfam says of the family: Transfer RNA (tRNA) molecules are approximately 80 nucleotides in length. Their secondary structure includes four short double-helical elements and three loops (D, anti-codon, and T loops). RNAcentral also lists the same sequence under 1 other name. The record is from RNAcentral. Lineage: Bacteria; Pseudomonadati; Bacteroidota.
GCCCGGGUGGCGAAACUGGUAAACGUUGCGGUCUCAGAAGCCGUUGGGAUUUCCCUUGUGAGUUCGAGUCUCACCCCGGGCA